AACGAACGCUGGCGGCGCGCCCUAAUACAUGCAAGUCGAGCGAGAAGGUGUAGCAAUACACUUGUAAAGCGGCGAACGGGUGAGGAAUACAUGGGUAAUCUACCAUCGAGUGGGGGAAUAACCAGCCGAAAGGUUGGCUAAUACCGCGUACGCUUCCGAGUCUUCGGGCUUGGAAGGAAAGCCGCGCUGUGAGUGCGGCGCUCUUUGAUGAGCUCAUGUCCUAUCAGCUUGUUGGUAGGGUAACGGCCUACCAAGGCUUUGACGGGUAGCUGGUCUGAGAGGACGAUCAGCCACACUGGCACUGCGACACGGGCCAGACUCCUACGGGAGGCAGCAGUAAGGAAUAUUGCGCAAUGGGCGAAAGCCUGACGCAGCGACGCCGCGUGGGGGAUGAAGGUCUUCGGGAUUGUAAACCCCUUUUCGGGACGGGAAGAUGGAGCGAGCAAUCGUUCGGACGGUACCUCCAGAAGCAGCCACGG
RNAcentral lists this ribosomal RNA (479 nucleotides) under uncultured bacterium. Its description in RNAcentral is "bacterial SSU rRNA". It matches the Rfam family "Bacterial small subunit ribosomal RNA", at positions 29 to 496 of the family's 1533-position model. The record is from RNAcentral.